RNAcentral lists this ribosomal RNA (133 nucleotides) under uncultured bacterium. RNAcentral describes it as "partial 16S ribosomal RNA". The record is from RNAcentral.
CGUAGUUAGCCGAGACUUAUUCCUGGGAUACUGUCCUUUCUCAUCUCCCAGAAAAGUGCUUUACGACCCGAAGGCCUUCAUCGCACACGCGGCGUUGCUGCAUCAGGCUUUCGCCCAUUGUGCAAUAUUCCCU